CCCUUAGAUGUUCUGGGCCGCACGCGCGUUACACUGAUGCAUUCAACGAGUCUAAAACCUGCUCUGAUAGGGGUGGGUAAUCUUUUGAAUGUGCAUCGUGAUUGGGAUAGAUGAUUGCAAUUUUUCAUCUUCAACGAGGAAUGCCUAGUAAACGCAAGUCAUCAGCUUGCAUUGAUUACGUCCCUGCCCUUUGUACACACCGCCCGUCGCUCCUACCGAUUGAAUGAUCCGAUGAAUAUCAUGGAUUGAGGAUGCAAGCAGGUUCGCCUGUCUUCAUCUUCGAGAAGUGAAGUAAAUCUUAUCAUUUAGAGGAAGGAGAAGUCGUAACA
This 329-nucleotide ribosomal RNA is filed under the name uncultured eukaryote. Its description in RNAcentral is "partial 18S ribosomal RNA". It matches the Rfam family "Eukaryotic small subunit ribosomal RNA", at positions 1470 to 1796 of the family's 1831-position model. The record is from RNAcentral.